AUUUAAGUAGCUUAAAUUAGAGCAUAAUAUUGAAGAUAUUAGGGUAAUAAUAAUUCUUAAAUA
This 63-nucleotide transfer RNA is filed under the name Chonosia crassipennis. RNAcentral's name for it is "tRNA-Phe". Lineage: Eukaryota; Metazoa; Arthropoda; Insecta; Hemiptera; Cicadidae. The record is from RNAcentral.